Molecule: non-coding RNA, 307 nt
Organism: Pelobates cultripes (western spadefoot toad)
Lineage: Eukaryota; Metazoa; Chordata; Amphibia; Anura; Pelobatidae
Source: the annotation of a GenBank genome assembly
CCUAAGAGAAAUAUAGUUCAGAAACAUUUGGGGUGCACGGAUUAAUCAUCACUGAUAUAAUCUAUAGGCAGCAGCACUACUACGAAGUGUCAGUAUGCACAUAUAUUAGGUAAUAAUGUGUGUAUUAUUAUAUGGCUAUAAUCAAACAAUAAAUUCUAGGAGUCCAAUUCUCACCCACACCAAGAAUUCAAGAAUCCCAUUUCACCCUUUUUUACCAGGUUCCCUAACCUUAAUUUCCCAAGUACCCUCCUAACCAUGAUACAAAGUGCCCCCUGAACCAAUGUGAUUUCUCACACUAAGUCUUCCC